GUCAGGAUGGCUGAGCGGUCUAAAGCGCUGCGUUCAGGUGCCGUCUCCCCUGAGGCGUGGGUUCAAAUCCAUUUCUGACA
This 80-nucleotide transfer RNA is filed under the name Ameiurus melas (black bullhead). It matches the Rfam family "tRNA". From Rfam's summary of the family: Transfer RNA (tRNA) molecules are approximately 80 nucleotides in length. Their secondary structure includes four short double-helical elements and three loops (D, anti-codon, and T loops). The record is from Rfam by way of RNAcentral. Lineage: Eukaryota; Metazoa; Chordata; Actinopteri; Siluriformes; Ictaluridae.